GUCUGGUGGCGAGUGGCAGAACGGGUGAGUAAUGUAUCGGAACGUGCCUAGUAGCGGGGGAUAACUACGCGAAAGCGUAGCUAAUACCGCAUACGCCCUACGGGGGAAAGCAGGGGAUCGCAAGACCUUGCACUAUUAGAGCGGCCGAUAUCGGAUUAGCUAGUUGGUGGGGUAACGGCUCACCAAGGCGACGAUCCGUAGCUGGUUUGAGAGGACGACCAGCCACACUGGGACUGAGACACGGCCCAGACUCCUACGGGAGGCAGCAGUGGGGAAUUUUGGACAAUGGGGGAAACCCUGAUCCAGCCAUCCCGCGUGUGCGAUGAAGGCCUUCGGGUUGUAAAGCACUUUUGGCAGGAAAGAAACGUUCCGGGUUAAUACCCCGGGAAACUGACGGUACCUGCAGAAUAAGCACCGGCUAACUACGUGCCAGCAGCCGCGGUAAUACGUAGGGUGCAAGCGUUAAUCGGAAUUACUGGGCGUAAAGCGUGCGCAGGCGGUUCGGAAAGAAAGAUGUGAAAUCCCAGAGCUUAACUUUGGAACUGCAUUU
Molecule: ribosomal RNA, 550 nt
Filed under: Achromobacter xylosoxidans
Lineage: Bacteria; Pseudomonadati; Pseudomonadota; Betaproteobacteria; Burkholderiales; Alcaligenaceae
Description: bacterial SSU rRNA
Rfam family: Bacterial small subunit ribosomal RNA
Source: RNAcentral